RNAcentral lists this ribosomal RNA (563 nucleotides) under uncultured Bacillota bacterium. Its description in RNAcentral is "bacterial SSU rRNA". It matches the Rfam family "Bacterial small subunit ribosomal RNA", at positions 344 to 918 of the family's 1533-position model. Lineage: Bacteria; Bacillati; Bacillota. The record is from RNAcentral.
GGGGGCAGCAGUGGGGAAUAUUGCACAAUGGGCGGAAGCCUGAUGCAGCAACGCCGCGUGCGGGAUGACGGCCUUCGGGUUGUAAACCGCUUUCGCCUGUGACGAAGCGUGAGUGACGGUAAUGGGUAAAGAAGCACCGGCUAACUACGUGCCAGCAGCCGCGGUAAUACGUAGGGGGCGAGCGUUGUCCGGAAUUAUUGGGCGUAAAGCGCGCGCAGGCGGUCUCUUAAGUCUGAUGUGAAAGCCCACGGCUCAACCGUGGAGGGUCAUUGGAAACUGGGGGACUUGAGGGCAGGAGAGGAGAGCGGAAUUCCACGUGUAGCGGUGAAAUGCGCAGAGAUGUGGAGGAACACCAGUGGCGAAGGCGGCUCUCUGGCCUGCACCUGACGCUGAGGCGCGAAAGCGUGGGGAGCAAACAGGAUUAGAUACCCUGGUAGUCCACGCCGUAAACGAUGAGUGCUAAGUGUUAGAGGGGUCACACCCUUUAGUGCUGCAGCUAACGCGAUAAGCACUCCGCCUGGGGAGUACGGCCGCAAGGCUGAAACUCAAAGGAAUUGACGGAA